AAACAUUUUACGACUUCGGGUGUGUUCACUUGUAAAUUCAGAGCGUUCCGCUCUCGGAGUGCACACUGGACGUUUGGGCCAAGGUGUCACGACUUCCACCAAAGGCCCCUCACUGGUGCAGUCACGGAGUUAUUGGAGACUGUGUUUACAGAUGGGAUGGGAAUGCUGGAAACAUGACCGCAUCCUGAAUCUGUCUCUGUCUCCCCUGGUCCCACUGGACUCAACACUGUGGGACCAGCUGGAAUCCCGUCUCCCCGGUGACCCAACAGUGUGACGAACCACGAGCCAUCACCAUGACGAUGAUUCCAGCAGGAAGUGGGAUGCGCCUUAGGGCUGAUUUCCUGCUUCUUCUCUGUGGUCCACCAUCAUUCCAUCACAAAGAUGGAGAAGCCUACACUUUGUAGCUCAGUUGGUAUAGCAUGGCAGUGGUAACGCCAGAAUCGUGGGUUUGAUUCCCAGGACUACCCAUACAUUAUGUAUAAUGUAUGCACGUGUGACUGUAAAUCGCUUUGGAUAAUAGCGUCUGCUAAAUAGCAUAUUACAGUUUUUCUCAAUUGCUGAAACACUAAAACCCAUUGGCUGAACAAAGUUCUCAGUUGCCUGGACUCAUUUACCUAAUUAUGCAGUCUGUUGUCAAUACCUUAAACCAUUUCACAUGGUAAAACACAAUUUGCAGAUCUCACUUAGACUUUUCAGGAAAACUCGAAACACAUUCUCAUUCUCAAAACACAUUCUGCACUCUAAUGCACAUGUCAUCCAUACUGGUAAACACAAGUGGCAACAAUCAAAUACAAAUAGAGAACACAUGUCAUUGAUUGAACACAACCACUCAAAUUGAUUUAACCUGUUUCAAAUGGCGCGACACAACCAAUAUAAGCCAGUUCAGAGAGCAAACAGGUUGUUGAAGGUGGGGAGGAGAAAGUCUGAGAAUGGAUAGAAGAAACAACGUGAGAGGACGAGGAGGACUGCGUAUGCGAGGUGGGUGACGAGGAGGCAGAGGAGGACGAAGAGGAAGACAGAGUGGAAAUAUCUGAUGAAAUUCGAGCAACAGUUAAAGACCAUGUUCUUGUCCAUGGACUGACAAUGAGGGAAGCAGGACUUAGAGUGCAACCCAAUUUGAGCCGAUUUUCUGUGUCCACCAUAGUAAGGACAUUCAGAGAAGAGAACAGAAUUGCAAGGCUGCCACAUGCAGGUAGAAGGACAGCUAUAUUCACUCGGAAGCAAGAGGCCGUUAUAGUUGGCAUGGUCCUUCAAGAUAAUGCAAUACGACUCAGAGAAAUCCAGGAACGAGUGAUACAAGACAACACACACUUCCAGGGAAUCGACAGUGUGAGCAUUUCCACAAUUGACCGUGUCCUCCAUUGUAACAGGAUGCGAAUGAAACAAGUACACAGAGUACCUUUUGAGCGCAACUCACCAAGGGUGAAAGAACUGCGAGCUCAGUAUGUGCAAACAAUAUUUGACUUGGAAUCCUUGGACAGACCCCAUGAGUUCAUCUUUGUCGAUGAAGCAGGCUUCAAUCUAACAAAGAGGAGAAGGAGAGGCCGAAACAUGAUUAGACAGCGGGCCAUUGUUGAAGUCCCUGGUCAACGAGGUGGUAAUGUCACAAUCUGUGCUGCUAUCAGCAACCAUGGUGUUCUACAUCACCAUGUUACACUCGGGCCAUAUAACACCCAGCACCUUCUAAGAUUUAUUGCCAAUCAGAGAUAUUUUAUUUGAGCAGCAGGGUCAAGAGCUAAACGAGAAUCCCAUUCCCACCUAUGUGAUAGUGUGGGACAAUGUCAGUUUCCACCGAGCUGCUCAGGUAAGGGAAUGGUUUAACAUCAAUGGGCAGUUUAUGAACUUGUACCUCCCUCCAUACUCGCUUUUCCUGAAUCCGAUUGAGGAAUUUUUCUCCUCUUGGAGAUGGAAAGUGUAUGAUAGACAACCAUACACCAGAGUAAAUCUGCUGCAAGCCAUGGAUUUAGCCUGUGGUGAUAUAGGUGAGGAAUCAUGUCAGGGCUGGAUACGGCACACAAGAAGCUUCUUCCCCCGUUGCCUCAGGAGGGACAAUAUUGCUUGUGAUGUCGACGAAGUGCUCUGGCCUGACCCAGCCCAAAGACAAGAAGAAGCACAUUGAUCACGUUUACUCCUUUGAUUUUUGUCCCUUUUAGUAUUGUAUACUGUAGUACAGUGCAUUGUAGGCUGUAUACUGUACAAUGGACAAAUUGUAUGGCCCUGAACAUUGUGCUUUCCAUUUAUUAACAGUACUGACUGCUCAAUAGAUUUUGACUGGUUGCAGGUUCAUAUCAACAAAGAACAAGAAUUACAGUAUCACAGAGACAAAGGACAAGUGUGUGAGAUGCAGGGUACAGUACUGUAAAAAUAGGGGAACAAGGAGGAGGAAGAACAAAAAACUAAAUUGCGAAGAGCAAAGCAGAGUAGUAUUUUCUGAUCAAUUUUGAGCUACUAUGAUAGAACAUGUUUUCGUUCAUCAAAAGACAAUGAUUGAAAAAUAUGAAUAUUUUUUUAGAUUAAAAAUGUACUUCUCCCUGAGAAUUGUAUGUUUUGAACAAUGUGUUUUCUAUUUUUCGGUGUAUUGUUUACUGACUGCUUGAGAGUGUAUAUCAUUUUGAUCACAUUGUUUAUGAUUUGAGAGCAGUGUUUGAUUUUGAACACAGGUAAAACUGUUUUGAGGCGACUGUUUCAUUUUGCGAGAGGAGUCAGAGGUUAUGUAAAUAGUGCUUGAAGAUGAGGUUUUGUGUUUAAUGUUUUCAGGAAAUGGAGCAAGGUUUCAGAAAUUGAGUUUUAGCAAUUGAGAAAAACUAUUACAAUAUUAUUAGAUGUCAGAUAUCUCUGUGGCAGAACCCUUUGAAGAACCCUUUUGGGUUCCAAGUUUAACCCUCUGUGGAAAUGGUUCUACAUGGAACCCAAAAUGGUUCUUCAAGGGGUUCUCUCAUGGGGAUAGCCCAGUUGAACAGUGAGGCCUAAGGAUUUAUCUUUUCAAUAAUAUUUCAAUGAUAUUCUAAUAAUAUUAUUCUUUUCAAUGAUAUUCAGAUUUAAUCUCUUUAGUUUGUGUUGGAAAGGAAAGGGUUAACACCGAAGAGAGAAAAAAAAAGAUCCAAUCAGGAUUUUUCUUUGAUGGUCUCCGGGGAGAUAAAAGAAGUGACUUGAAGGAGUCGGAGGUUCACUCCAAAAACUCAGCAGAUGUGAUAUUGUGGCCUACUGCAGCCGCUAGCUAGCUAGACCGUGAGAAAACUGCUACUCGCUAUUGCGCACUGACCUGUCGGCCUUCUAGAAGGCAGACGAUUCCAUACGUUUUUGUAAAAACGGUCCCACCCAUAAGUCAAACUGUGAUUGGUUGAUUCCACUGUCACUCAGAAAUCCUGUCCUAAUAAAGUUGAAUGUAGGAUGCCUUCUAUCGACAGUGUCUUCAGAAAGUAUUGAUACACCUUGACUUGUUCCACAAUUUGUUGUGUUACAGCCUGAUUUUUCUCUCUCACCCAUCUACACACAAUACCCCAUAGUGACAAAAUGAAAACAUAUUUUUUGCAAAUGUACUAAUAAUUGCUCAAAUAUUGCUAGACAGACAGUUUCAAGCCUUGCCAUAGGUUUUCAAGCGUCACCAUGCUCAAAGGGAUAUUCAAUGUCUGCUUUUUUUUUCCCCCAUUUACCAAUAGGUGCCCUUCUUUGCGAGGCAUUGGAAAACCUCCCUGGUCUUUGUGGUUGAAUCUGUGUUUGAAAUUCACUGCUCAACUGAGGGAUCUUACAGAUAAUUGUAUGUGUGGGGUACAGAGAUGAGGUAGUCAUUCAAAAAUCAUGUUAAACACUAUUAUUGCACACAGAGUGAGUCCAUGCAGCUUAUUAUGUGACUUGUUAAUCAAAUCUUUUCUCCGGAAAUUAUUUAGACUUGCCAUAACAAAGGGGUUGAAAACUUAUUGACUCAAGACAUUUCAGCUUUUCAUUUUUUAUUAAUUAGCAAAAUUGUCUAAAAACAUAAUUCCACUUUGACAUUGUGGGGCAUUGUGUGUAGGCCAGUGACACAAAAUCUCAACGUAAUAAAUGCUUUAAUUCAGGCUGUAACAUAACAAAAUGUGGAAAAGGUCAAUACUAUUUGAAGGCACUUUAGCUUCUGAGGCCCUAGCCAAUGGCUGUUUUUGUAUUCUUAUGAUUGGGACCUACUUGCUUUGGGUAGAUUUGUUUUGUUUUGUUUGGUAUUACGUGUUGGAAGAUUUUUUUCCCACACUGAAGGCCUACGUCCAAUAGCCAUGGUUCGCCACUGCAUAAAACCCUUUUAGGUUUUAGGUAUAACCUUUUUUCUAAGAGUGUACAGUCUAUCUUGAUGUUAUGUUGCUUCCAAGGUCUCUGCUAAUGCUCUUCUACAUUUGUACAAAAUGAUAUUACAUUUUGCCCAUACAGCGCAUUUAGCUAAUUUAACUAUGCUGCAGUAGUUUGUGUCGGGGGGCUAGGGUCAGUUUGUUAUAACUGGAGUACUUCUCCUGUCUUAUCCGGUGAAUUUAAGUAUGCUCUCUCUAAUUCUCUCUUUCUCUCUGAGGACCUGAGCCCUAGGACCAUGCCUCAGGACUACCUGGCAUGAUGACUCCUUGCUGUUCACAGUCCACCUGGCCGUGCUGCUGCUCCAGUUUCAACUGUUCUGCCUGCAGCUAUGGAAUCCUGACCUGUUCACCGGAUGUGCUACCUGUCCCAGACCAGCUGUUUUCAACUCUCUAGAGACAGCAGGAGUGGUAGAGAUACUCUUAAUGAUCGGCUAUGAAAAGCCAACUGACAUUUACUCCUGAGGUGCUGACUUGCUGCACCCUCAACAACUACUGUGAUUAUUAUUAUUUGACCAUGCUGGUCAUUUAUGAACAUUUGAACAUCUUGGCCGUGUUCUGUUAUAAUCUCCACCCGGCACAGCCAGAAGAGGACUGGCCACCCCUCAUAGCCUGGUUCCGCUCUAGGCUUCUUCCUAGGUUUUGGCCUUUCUAGGGAGUUUUUCCUAGCCACCGUGCUUCUACACCUGCAUUGCUUGCUGUUUGGGGUUUUAGGCUGGGUUUCUGUACAGCACUUUGAGGUAUCAGCUGAUGUACGAAGGGCUAUAUAAAUAAAUUUGAUUUGAAUAGGAACCACCAAACUAGAUCACAAUGAAGCAGGCAGAAAUAAUUAAGCAAUUUAUAUUACUGGCUAAAGGUUUAAUUCUAACGUCAUAUUAAAUAGAAAAAUACAUAUUCUGCUAUAUGUAUAGUACCAGUAAAAAGUUUUGGGUCAUUGUCCUGUUGAAAAACAAAUUAUAGUCCCACUAAGCGCAAACCAGAUAGGAUGGCGUAUUGUUGCAGAAUGCUGUGGUAGCCAUGCUGGUUGUGCUUUGACUUCUAAAUAAAUCACAGACAGUGUCACCAGCAAAGCCCCUUACACCAUCACACCUCCUCCUCCAUGCUUCACAGUGGGAACCAAACAUACUCUGCGUCUCACAAAGACACAGAGGUUGGAACCAAAAAAUCUCAAAUUUGGACUCAUCAGAUCAAAGGAUAGAUUUCCUCUGGUCUAAUGUCCAUUGCUCGUGUUUCUUGGCCCAAGCAAGUAUCUUUUUCUUAUUGGUGUCCCUUAAUAGUGGUUUCUUUGCAGCAAUUCGACCAUGAAGGCCUGAUUCACAGUCUCCUCUGAACAGUUGAUGUUGAGAUGUGUUUGUUACUUGAACUCUGUGAAGCAUUUAUUUGGGCUGCAAUUUCUGAGACUUGUAACUCUAAUGAACUUAUCCUCUGCAGCAGAGGUAACUUUGGGUCUUCCUUUCCUGUGGCGGUCCUCAUGAGAGCCAGUUUCAUCAUAGCGCUUGAUGGUUUUUGUGACUGCACUUGGAAGAAACGUUCAAAGUUCUUGAAAUGUUCUGCAUUGACUGUCCUUCCUGUCCUUUCUCUUUGCUUAUUUGACCUGGUCUUGCCAUAAUAUGGAGUUGUUUUUUAUGCAAAUAGAGCUAUCUUCUGUAUACCACCCCUACCUUGUCACAACACAACUAAUAGGCUCAAAGAUUUUGAAGGAAAUACAUUCCACAAAUUAACUUUUAACAAGGCCCAUCUGUUAAUUGAAAUACAUUCCAGGUGACUACUUCAUGAAGCUGGUUGAGAUAAUGUCAAGAGUGUGCAAAGCUGUCAUCAAGGCAAAGGGUGGAGAAUCUCAAAUAUAACAGAUAUUUUGAUUUAUUUAACACUUUUUUGGUUACUACAUGAUUCCAUAUGUGUUACUACAUCGUUUUGAUGUCUUCUGUUAUUCUACAAUGUAGAAAAUAGAACAAAUAAAGAAAAACCCUGGAAUGAGUAGGUGUAUCCAAACUUUUGACUGGUACUGUGAAUAUUUUAUACUUAAAAUUAUUCCACAUUUCAGUUAUGUAAAGAGAAGGUAUUCUAGUUGGAUAUCAGAUUUCAUGGAAUGGAUAUGAACAUGAAACCUUUGAUAAAAAGAAUGGACAUCUGUUGAAAACAACAGUUUCCAUAAAUACAGGACUGUUAUCUUUUGCCAGAAUCCUCUCAACAGCACGUGUCAGGAACCAAAACUCUGGAGUAUAUUGAUGUGCGAGACUCAAGCCACAUUUUUGUUUUACAGAGGAUACCACAAAAUACUGUGGUAAAGAAUAUGAUGAUUGUGUGAAUGAAAACGCCAGCACAAUGAGAUAGUAAUUACAUAAGAGGUUAUUUGUAGCUCUGCCUGAAAAUUCACAGUAUCACACGUCACUGCUUUCAAUGUAUUCACUGUGUAUCAUUGUGAUAGAAUAAACAGUAUCCUACUGUACCAUACAAA
Oncorhynchus tshawytscha (Chinook salmon) is the source of this 6771-nucleotide long non-coding RNA. Lineage: Eukaryota; Metazoa; Chordata; Actinopteri; Salmoniformes; Salmonidae. The record is from Ensembl.